RNAcentral lists this ribosomal RNA (355 nucleotides) under Arigomphus villosipes. Its description in RNAcentral is "partial 12S ribosomal RNA". The record is from RNAcentral. Lineage: Eukaryota; Metazoa; Arthropoda; Insecta; Odonata; Gomphidae.
UAUAAAUGUUAAUUUUUAAUACCAGGGUAGUAAUAGUUAUGUUCUUGAAACCCAAAGAAUUUGGCGGUAUUUUAGUCCUUUCAGAGGAAUCUGUCCCGUAAUCGACAAUCCACGAGAUAAAAUUACUCAUUUUUGUAUUUCAGUUUGUAUACCUCCGUCAUAAGAAGAUCUUUUUAGAGAUAAUUUUCUUAAUAUAUUGAAUAUAAAAUGUCAGGUCAAGGUGCAAUUUAUAAAUGAGAGGAGAUGGAUUACAAUAAAUUUAUUUAAAUGGAUUAGAUUAUUUAAUUUUUCUAUGAAGGCGGAUUUGAUAGUAAUUUUAAUUAUUUGUUAUUGUGAUUUUGGCUCUAAAAUAUGC